AUUGAACGCUGGCGGCAGGCUUAACACAUGCAAGUCGAGCGGAGCGAGGGUGCUUGCACCUUAGCUUAGCGGCGGACGGGUGAGUAAUGCUUAGGAAUCUGCCUAUUAGUGGGGGACAACAUUCCGAAAGGAAUGCUAAUACUGCAUACGCCCUACGGGGGAAAGCAGGGGAUCUUCGGACCUUGCGCUAAUAGGUGAGCCUAAGUCGGAUUAGCUAGUUGGUGGGGUAAAGGCCUACCAAGGCGACGACCUGUAGCGGGUCUGAGAGGAUGAUCAGCCACACUGGGACUGAGACACGGCCCAGACUCCUACGGGAGGCAGCAGUGGGGAAUAUUGGACAAUGGGCGGAAGCCUGAUCCAGCCAUGCCGCGUGUGUGAAGAAGGCCUUUUGGUUGUAAAGCACUUUAAGCGAGGAGGAGGCUACUUAGAUUAAUACUCUGGGAUAGUGGACGUUAUUCGCAGAAUAAGCCCGGCUAACUCUGUGCCAGCCGCCGCCGUAA
Molecule: ribosomal RNA, 500 nt
Filed under: uncultured bacterium
Lineage: Bacteria
Description: partial 16S ribosomal RNA
Rfam family: Bacterial small subunit ribosomal RNA
Source: RNAcentral